RNAcentral lists this transfer RNA (72 nucleotides) under Bipalium admarginatum. RNAcentral describes it as "tRNA-Glu". The record is from RNAcentral. Lineage: Eukaryota; Metazoa; Platyhelminthes; Tricladida; Geoplanidae.
UUAAAUUUGGUGUAGUUGCAUAUAAAAUUUUCUUUUUUGUGGAAACUAAAAAAAAUUUUUAGUUAAUUUAUG